UUGGAGAGUUUGAUCCUGGCUCAGGACGAACGCUGGCGGCGUGCUUAACACAUGCAAGUCGAACGGAAAGGCCCUGCUUUUGUGGGGUGCUCGAGUGGCGAACGGGUGAGUAACACGUGAGUAACCUGCCCUUGACUUUGGGAUAACUUCAGGAAACUGGGGCUAAUACCGGAUAGGAGCUCCUGCUGCAUGGUGGGGGUUGGAAAGUUUCGGCGGUUGGGGAUGGACUCGCGGCUUAUCAGCUUGUUGGUGGGGUAGUGGCUUACCAAGGCUUUGACGGGUAGCCGGCCUGAGAGGGUGACCGGCCACAUUGGGACUGAGAUACGGCCCAGACUCCUACGGGAGGCAGCAGUGGGGAAUAUUGCACAAUGGGCGGAAGCCUGAUGCAGCAACGCCGCGUGCGGGAUGACGGCCUUCGGGUUGUAAACCGCUUUCGCCUGUGACGAAGCGUGAGUGACGGUAAUGGGUAAAGAAGCACCGGCUAACUACGUGCCAGCAGCCGCGGUGAUACGUAGGGUGCGAGCGUUGUCCGGAUUUAUUGGGCGUAAAGGGCUCGUAGGUGGUUGAUCGCGUCGGAAGUGUAAUCUUGGGGCUUAACCCUGAGCGUGCUUUCGAUACGGGUUGACUUGAGGAAGGUAGGGGAGAAUGGAAUUCCUGGUGGAGCGGUGGAAUGCGCAGAUAUCAGGAGGAACACCAGUGGCGAAGGCGGUUCUCUGGGCCUUUCCUGACGCUGAGGAGCGAAAGCGUGGGGAGCGAACAGGCUUAGAUACCCUGGUAGUCCACGCUGUAAACGGUGGGUACUAGGUGUGGGGUCCAUUCCACGGGUUCCGUGCCGUAGCUAACGCUUUAAGUACCCCGCCUGGGGAGUACGGCCGCAAGGCUAAAACUCAAAGGAAUUGACGGGGCCCCGCACAAGCGGCGGAGCAUGCGGAUUAAUUCGAUGCAACGCGUAGAACCUUACCUGGGUUUGACAUGGAUCGGGAGUGCUCAGAGAUGGGUGUGCCUCUUUUGGGGUCGGUUCACAGGUGGUGCAUGGCUGUCGUCAGCUCGUGUCGUGAGAUGUUGGGUUAAGUCCCGCAACGAGCGCAACCCUUGUUCACUGUUGCCAGCACGUUAUGGUGGGGACUCAGUGGAGACCGCCGGGGUCAACUCGGAGGAAGGUGGGGAUGACGUCAAGUCAUCAUGCCCCUUAUGUCCAGGGCUUCACGCAUGCUACAAUGGCUGGUACAGAGAGUGGCGAGCCUGUGAGGGUGAGCGAAUCUCGGAAAGCCGGUCUCAGUUCGGAUUGGGGUCUGCAACUCGACCUCAUGAAGUCGGAGUCGCUAGUAAUCGCAGAUCAGCAACGCUGCGGUGAAUACGUUCCCGGGGCUUGUACACACCGCCCGUCAAGUCAUGAAAGUUGGUAACACCCGAAGCCGGUGGCCUAACCGUUGUGGGGGAGCCGUCGAAGGUGGGACUGGUGAUUAGGACUAAGUCGUAACAAGGUAGCCGUACCGGAAGGUGCGGCUGGAUCACCUCCUUU
This 1522-nucleotide ribosomal RNA is filed under the name Cutibacterium acnes. RNAcentral describes it as "partial 16S ribosomal RNA". It matches the Rfam family "Bacterial small subunit ribosomal RNA". RNAcentral also lists the same sequence under 1 other name. The record is from RNAcentral. Lineage: Bacteria; Bacillati; Actinomycetota; Actinomycetes; Propionibacteriales; Propionibacteriaceae.